Long non-coding RNA from Apodemus sylvaticus (European woodmouse), 1530 nucleotides. RefSeq lists it as uncharacterized. NCBI's taxonomy places the organism in Eukaryota, Metazoa, Chordata, Mammalia, Rodentia, Muridae. The record is from RefSeq and is a predicted model, not a curated record. The transcript has 3 exons.
CGACGCUGCCGCCGCCGCUGCCCCAGGCGGAGGGCACCGAGGUUCCCACGCUCCGGCCCGGGGCCGGGGGCGUUCUCAGGCCGGCGUGGCCGCGCUCGCCACCGCCGCGGAGGCCAGGCUGUAAUUAGGGUAAUUGCGCGGCUCCGCGCCUGGGGCAAGUGCAGGACCCUGGUUGUGCAGCGCUGGUCCGGGAUAGGCAGGGACAGCGGGGGCUGGGAAUGUCGCAGCCCGGUCCUCCAGACAGGACUGCACUUCCGUCUCCAGAUUGGACCUCUCUGCCGAGCCACACACCUCUCCUGAGCCAUCAUAGACUCUAGUUCUCCAAAGUCCUUUGGCUUUUCCACUGGGAGAAAAACCAUUUCUCUGGAAAUGAUAUACAGAAGUGUUGGCAACAGCAAUUUCUGCAAGACCCCCUACAUCCAUCUGCAGCAGACCAUGCAGGAUUGUUAUGACUACAAAUCCUACAGUGGAGUGUUACACAGCACUGGAAAUGGAGGACCACUGCAAACCUUUACAGACCAGGGCUCAUGAGAUUCAGGAAUCAGACUCUGGUGUUAGAAACAAACAAACAAAAGCAGGUCACAUCCACAUAGGUUUGAUAUGCUUCUUGAAUAUAGUACACAGACAUGCAAAAUGAAAUGGCCUUUCAAAGGGAUAGAAACAAGAGAGACUCAGCCUGGUCUUGAACUCACAGAAAUCAAACUGUCUCUGCCUCCCAAGUGCUGGGAUUAAGGGGGUGCAUCACCAUGCCCGGAGAAAAUAAUUUUUAAAAUCAGGGAAGCUGAAGGUGAUGGCGCAUACCUAUAAUUCCAAAUGAUUCCAGCAGGCAGCUCAGUGCCCCUAGACUUUCUGACCCCAAGCAGCAAAGUUUCAGCCUAAUGGGUGUGUAGAAUAAAACUACCAUUUGGCCCAGUUAUCACACUUCCUGGAACAUAUGCAAAAGAAACGAAACCAUUGCAUGAAGGCCACGUGUGUGCCCAUGUUUACUGCAACGAUCCACAGUGGCUAAGCGUGGCUACGACAAGACAUCCACCAUUACAUGAGUGGAAAAGGGAGUGUGUCUCACGUGUACACAGGGGAGUGAGUACUCAGUCAUAAAAAGCCCCACAGUGGUCACACCCAGAGGACAUUAGGUGAAACAGAUUAGACACAGAAAGACACAUAUCACAUGGUCUAUUUCAUAACUGAAAAAAAGGUGAUCUGGUCCAGGAGAGAUGGCUCAGGGGGUAAGAGUGCUUUCUGUAUAGAUGUGAAGACCUGGAUUCAAAUCCACAAGACUGUGUAAAAGGCGAUGUGGCAUAAACUUGUAAUCCAGAACUGUCUACAUGUGUAUUCCAGAUGGGUGGAGACAGGAGGAUCCCUGGGGCUUGCUAAUUAAUAGCCUCACUUUAGGUCUAGUGAGAGACCCUGUCUCAAGAGAAUAAUUAUGAGAGAGAUCAAGACACUGUGUGAUGUCUUCCGCUGGCCUGUGUGCCCACAGCUGUACAUACCAGCGCACACUUACUGGCACACACAUGCACAUACUUCAGA